RNAcentral lists this ribosomal RNA (469 nucleotides) under uncultured bacterium. RNAcentral describes it as "partial 16S ribosomal RNA". It matches the Rfam family "Bacterial small subunit ribosomal RNA", at positions 28 to 507 of the family's 1533-position model. The record is from RNAcentral.
GACGAACGCUGGCGGCGUGCUUAACACAUGCAAGUCGAACGGAAAGGCCCUGCUUGCAGGGUGCUCGAGUGGCGAACGGGUGAGUAACACGUGGGUGAUCUGCCCCUUACUUUGGGAUAAGCCUGGGCAACUGGGUCUAAUACUGGAUAGGACCAUGCUGUAGGUGGUGUGGUGGAAAGAUUAGUUUCGGUAAGGGAUGAGCUCGCGGCCUAUCAGCUUGUUGGUGGGGUAAUGGCCUACCAAGGCGUCGACGGGUAGCCGGCCUGAGAGGGUGGACGGCCACAUUGGGACUGAGACGCGGCGCAGAAGCCUACGGGAGGCAGCAGUGGGGAAUAUUGCACAAUGGGCGCAAGCCGGAUGCAGCGACGCCGCGUGGGGGGUGACGGCCUUCGGGUUGUAAACACCUUUCAGCCAUGACGAAGCCCUUGUGGUGACGGUAGUGGUAGAAGAAGCACCGGCUAACUACGUG